RNAcentral lists this ribosomal RNA (250 nucleotides) under uncultured Curvibacter sp. RNAcentral's name for it is "partial 16S ribosomal RNA". It matches the Rfam family "Bacterial small subunit ribosomal RNA", at positions 86 to 339 of the family's 1533-position model. The record is from RNAcentral. Lineage: Bacteria; Pseudomonadati; Pseudomonadota; Betaproteobacteria; Burkholderiales; Comamonadaceae.
UGGUGGCGAGUGGCGAACGGGUGAGUAAUAUAUCGGAACGUGCCCAGUCGUGGGGGAUAACGUAGCGAAAGCUACGCUAAUACCGCAUACGAUCUAUGGAUGAAAGCGGGGGAUCGCAAGACCUCGCGCGAUUGGAGCGGCCGAUAUCAGAUUAGGUAGUUGGUGAGGUAAAGGCUCACCAAGCCGACGAUCUGUAGCUGGUCUGAGAGGACGACCAGCCACACUGGGACUGAGACACGGCCCAGACUCC